CUUCCUUGCAUCAUUUUUUUUCCUUGUGCCAUAACUUAGCAAUGAUUGUUUUAUGUUCCACGCUGUUGUUUAUUUCUUAGCGUGCACCUUUCGGCGUUGCAUCUUGUGUUUUCAGUAUCCUUGUGCAAAAGUCAUGUACAUUAAAGAUUGACUUUGUGGUCAUGAAAAUUAGCUGCUAGAGCUUCCUCCCCUUUGUAUGUGAUUGAGAUAAAAGCUAAA
Molecule: long non-coding RNA, 219 nt
Filed under: Theobroma cacao (cacao)
Lineage: Eukaryota; Viridiplantae; Streptophyta; Magnoliopsida; Malvales; Malvaceae
Description: long non-coding RNA (TCAC_LNC001933)
Source: RNAcentral